CCGUAUAAGUGAAUAGUAACCCCGACACAACAAGUUUCAAAUUUGAUAAAAAAGUUCUCCAAUACUUCGGCAUAAUGAUAUUGAAGAAAAAAAUAUCAUUUAAGAAGAAAAUAAUACCCCUUACCUCAAAAUAACCGUACUUCUGACUGAAUUUCGGUAUAGUGCUGACAGAAACCCGCACCGUAUAGCAACACUCAAAGUAUACUCACAAGAAUACGCUCGAUAAUUUAGAGAGAGAAAGAGAGAAAACUUAGUUUCUGGUGUGAUUUUCAAUUCUAACUUAG
This 284-nucleotide long non-coding RNA is filed under the name Panax ginseng (ginseng). RNAcentral describes it as "long non-coding RNA (PGIN_LNC013953)". Lineage: Eukaryota; Viridiplantae; Streptophyta; Magnoliopsida; Apiales; Araliaceae. The record is from RNAcentral.